Molecule: ribosomal RNA, 531 nt
Filed under: unidentified oral bacterium RP55-25
Lineage: Bacteria
Description: bacterial SSU rRNA
Rfam family: Bacterial small subunit ribosomal RNA
Source: RNAcentral
AGAGUUUGAUCCUGGCUCAGGACGAACGCUGGCGGCGUGCCUAAUACAUGCAAGUAGAACGCUGAAGAGAGGAGCUUGCUCUUCUUGGAUGAGUUGCGAACGGGUGAGUAACGCGUAGGUAACCUGCCUGGUAGCGGGGGAUAACUAUUGGAAACGAUAGCUAAUACCGCAUAAAAUUGAUUAUCGCAUGAUAAUUAAUUGAAAGAUGCAAUUGCAUCACUACCAGAUGGACCUGCGUUGUAUUAGCUAGUUGGUGAGGUAACGGCUCACCAAGGCGACGAUACAUAGCCGACCUGAGAGGGUGAUCGGCCACACUGGGACUGAGACACGGCCCAGACUCCUACGGGAGGCAGCAGUAGGGAAUCUUCGGCAAUGGGGGGAACCCUGACCGAGCAACGCCGCGUGAGUGAAGAAGGUUUUCGGAUCGUAAAGCUCUGUUGUAAGAGAAGAACGGGUGUGGGAGUGGAAAGUUCACACUGUGACGGUAUCUUACCAGAAAGGGACGGCUAACUACGUGCCAGCAGCCGCGGU